GUGAGGAAUAUUGCGCAAUGGAGGCAACUCUGACGCAGCCAUGCCGCGUGCAGGAAGAAGGCGCUACGCGUUGUAAACUGCUUUUAACCGGGAAGAAACCCCAGGACGUGUCCUGGGUUGACGGUACCGGAGGAAUAAGCACCGGCUAACUUCGUGCCAGCAGCCGCGGUAAUACGAAGGGUGCAAGCGUUAUCCGGAUUCAUUGGGUUGAAAGGGUGCGUAGGCGGAGCGUUAAGUCAGUGGUGAAAUCCUGCAGCUUAACUGUAGACUUGCCAUUGGUACUGGCGCUCUUGAGUGCGCUUGAAGUGGGCGGAAUGUGCCGUGUAGCGGUGAAAUGCUUAGAUAUGGCACAGAACACCAAUUGCGAAGGCAGCUCACUAAGGCGAUACUGACGCUGAGGCACGAAAGCGUGGGGAUCGAACAGGAUUAGAAACCCUAGUAGUCC
RNAcentral lists this ribosomal RNA (445 nucleotides) under uncultured bacterium. RNAcentral describes it as "partial 16S ribosomal RNA". It matches the Rfam family "Bacterial small subunit ribosomal RNA", at positions 354 to 796 of the family's 1533-position model. The record is from RNAcentral.